CUACGGGAGGCUGCAGUUAGGGAUAUUCGGCAAUGGGGGAAACCCUGACCGAGCAAUGCCGCGUGAAUGAAGAAGUAUUUCGAUAUGUAAAGUUCUGUUGUUAAGGAAGAAAGGUACGAAUAGGAAAUGAUUCGUAAUUGACGGUACUUAACCAGAAAGCCCCUGCUAACUACGUGCCAGCAGCAGCGGUAAUACGUAGGGGGCGAGCGUUAUCCGGAAUUAUUGGGCGUAAAGGGUGCGUAGGCGGCCUGUCAAGUCCGAGUUGAAAGCCCACGGCUUAACCGUGGAGGGUGCUCGGAAACUGAUAGGCUUGAAUCCAGAAGAGGCAAGUGGAAUUCUAUGUGGAGCGGUGGAAUGCGUAGAUAUAUGGAGGAACACCAGUGGCGAAGGCGGCUUGCUGGGCUGGUAUUGACGCUGAUGCACGAAAGCGUGGGGAGCAAACAGGAUUAGAUACCCGCGUAGUC
RNAcentral lists this ribosomal RNA (464 nucleotides) under uncultured bacterium. Its description in RNAcentral is "partial 16S ribosomal RNA". It matches the Rfam family "Bacterial small subunit ribosomal RNA", at positions 339 to 795 of the family's 1533-position model. The record is from RNAcentral.